CCUACGGGAGGCAGCAGUGAGGAAUAUUGGUCAAUGGACGCAAGUCUGAACCAGCCAUGCCGCGUGCAGGAAGACGGCUCUAUGAGUUGUAAACUGCUUUUGUACGAGGGUAAACGCAGAUACGCGUAUCUGACUGAAAGUAUCGUAAGAAUAAGGAUCGGCUAACUCCGUGCCAGCAGCCGCGGUAAUACGGAGGAUUCAAGCGUUAUCCGGAUUUAUUGGGUUGAAAGGGUGCGUAGGCGGUCGGAUAAGUUAGAGGUGAAAUCCCGAGGCUCAACUUCGGAAGUGCCUCUGAUACUGUUCGGCUUGAGAGUAGUUGAGGUAAGCGGAAUGUAUAGUGUAGCGGUGAUAUGCUUAGAGAUCAUACAGAACACCGAUUGCGUAGGCAGCUUACCGGGCUCCUUCUGACGUUGAGGCACGAAAGCGUGGGGAGCAAACAGGAUUAGAUACCCCAGUAGUC
RNAcentral lists this ribosomal RNA (460 nucleotides) under uncultured bacterium. RNAcentral describes it as "partial 16S ribosomal RNA". It matches the Rfam family "Bacterial small subunit ribosomal RNA", at positions 338 to 795 of the family's 1533-position model. The record is from RNAcentral.